UCCCUCGGGAAACUGAGGUUAAUAUCUGAUAGGAGAUUUAUACUGGAAAGAUUAAUCUUUAAAAUUCGAGCCUAAGGAUGGGGCUGCGGUGGAUUAGGUUGUUGGCGGGGUAAUAGCCCACCAAGCCUUUGAUCCAUAGGGGCUCUUAGCGGAGAAGCCCCGAGAGGGAAUCUGAGACACUAUUCCCAGCCCUACGGGGUGCAGCAGUUAGGAAUAUUCUGCAAUGCGCGUAAGCGUGACAGAUUGAGUCAGAGUGCGCUUCAAUUUGGAGUGCUUUUGCUAAAUGUAAAAAGUUUGGCGAAUAAGGACUGGGUAAGACGAGUGCCAGCCGCCGCGGUAAUACUCGCGGUCCAAGUCGCAGCCAUUUUUAUUGGGUCUAAAACAUCCGUAGCUUGCUUGGUGAGUUCCUUGUGAAAUUCUAUAUCUCAAAUAUGGAGCGUGCAGGGAGUACUGCCAAGCUAGAGACUGGAAGACGUAACGAGUACGUUUGGAGUAGCGGUAAAAUGUGUUAAUCCCGGACGGACUAACAAUAGCGAAGGCACGUUACGAGGACAGUUCUGACAGUAAGGGAUGAAGGCUAGGGGCGCAAAACGGAUUAGAUACCCGUGUAGUCCUAGCAGUAAACACUGCACACUAAACAUUAGUACCUCCUCGAGAGGUAUUGGUGCUGAAGGGAAGCCGAAGAGUGUGCUACCUGGGAAGUAUAGUCGCAAGGCCGAAACUUAAAGGAAUUGGCG
This 737-nucleotide ribosomal RNA is filed under the name uncultured euryarchaeote. Its description in RNAcentral is "bacterial SSU rRNA". It matches the Rfam family "Archaeal small subunit ribosomal RNA", at positions 128 to 870 of the family's 1478-position model. Lineage: Archaea; Methanobacteriati; Methanobacteriota. The record is from RNAcentral.